RNAcentral lists this ribosomal RNA (497 nucleotides) under uncultured bacterium. RNAcentral's name for it is "partial 16S ribosomal RNA". It matches the Rfam family "Bacterial small subunit ribosomal RNA", at positions 28 to 507 of the family's 1533-position model. The record is from RNAcentral.
GAUGAACGCUGGCGGCGUGCCUAAUACAUGCAAGUCGAGCGAACAGACGAGGAGCUUGCUCCUCUGACGUUAGCGGCGGACGGGUGAGUAACACGUGGAUAACCUACCUAUAAGUCUGGGAUAACUUAGGGAAACCGGAGCUAAUACAGGAUAAUAUAUUGAACCGCAUGGUUCAAUAGUGAAAGACGGUUUUGUUGAAACUUAUAGAUGGAUACGCGCCGCAUUAGCUAGUUGGUAAGGUAACGGCUUACCAAGGCAACGAUGCGUAGCCGACCUGAGAGGGUGAUCGGCCACACUAGAACUGAGACACGGUCCAGACUCCUACGGGGGGCAGCAGUAGGGAAUCUUCCGCGAUGGGCGAGAGCCUGACAGAGCUACGCCGCGUGAGUGAUGAAGGUCUUCGGAUCGUAAAACUCUGUUAUUAGGGAAUAACAAAUGUGUAAGUAACUAUGCACGUCUUGACGGUACCUAAUCAGAAAGCCACGGCUAACUACGUG